Molecule: ribosomal RNA, 553 nt
Filed under: Bifidobacterium pseudocatenulatum
Lineage: Bacteria; Bacillati; Actinomycetota; Actinomycetes; Bifidobacteriales; Bifidobacteriaceae
Description: bacterial SSU rRNA
Rfam family: Bacterial small subunit ribosomal RNA
Source: RNAcentral
CUCCUGGAAACGGGUGGUAAUGCCGGAUGCUCCGACUCCUCGCAUGGGGUGUCGGGAAAGAUUUCAUCGGUAUGGGAUGGGGUCGCGUCCUAUCAGGUAGUCGGCGGGGUAACGGCCCACCGAGCCUACGACGGGUAGCCGGCCUGAGAGGGCGACCGGCCACAUUGGGACUGAGAUACGGCCCAGACUCCUACGGGAGGCAGCAGUGGGGAAUAUUGCACAAUGGGCGCAAGCCUGAUGCAGCGACGCCGCGUGCGGGAUGACGGCCUUCGGGUUGUAAACCGCUUUUGAUCGGGAGCAAGCCUUCGGGUGAGUGUACCUUUCGAAUAAGCACCGGCUAACUACGUGCCAGCAGCCGCGGUAAUACGUAGGGUGCAAGCGUUAUCCGGAAUUAUUGGGCGUAAAGGGCUCGUAGGCGGUUCGUCGCGUCCGGUGUGAAAGUCCAUCGCUUAACGGUGGAUCUGCGCCGGGUACGGGCGGGCUGGAGUGCGGUAGGGGAGACUGGAAUUCCCGGUGUAACGGUGGAAUGUGUAGAUAUCGGGAAAGAACACCA